UACGGAGGAUGCAAGCGUUAUCCGGAAUGAUUGGGCGUAAAGCGUCCGCAGGUGGCUAUGUAAGUCUGCUGUUAAAGAGUCUAGCUCAACUAGAUAAGAGCAGUGGAAACUACAUGGCUAGAGUGCGUUCGGGGCAGAGGGAAUUCCUGGUGUAGCGGUGAAAUGCGCAGAUAUCAGGAAGAACACCCGUGGCGAAGGCGAUUCUCUGGGACGGUACUGACGCUGAGACGCGAAAGCGUGGGGAGCGAACAGG
Molecule: ribosomal RNA, 253 nt
Filed under: uncultured bacterium
Lineage: Bacteria
Description: partial 16S ribosomal RNA
Rfam family: Bacterial small subunit ribosomal RNA
Source: RNAcentral